AGAGUUUGAUCAUGGCUCAGAGCGAACGCUGGCGGCAGGCCUAACACAUGCAAGUCGAACGGAUCCUUCGGGAUUAGUGGCGGACGGGUGAGUAACACGUGGGAACGUGCCCUUUGGUUCGGAACAACUCAGGGAAACUUGAGCUAAUACCGGAUAAGCCCUACGGGGGAAAGAUUUAUCGCCAUUGGAGCGGCCCGCGUCUGAUUAGCUAGUUGGUGAGGUAAAGGCUCACCAAGGCUACGAUCAGUAGCUGGUCUGAGAGGAUGAUCAGCCACAUUGGGACUGAGACACGGCCCAAACUCCUACGGGAGGCAGCAGUGGGGAAUCUUGCGCAAUGGGCGAAAGCCUGACGCAGCCAUGCCGCGUGAAUGAUGAAGGUCUUAGGAUUGUAAAAUUCUUUCAGCAGGGACGAUAAUGACGGUACCUGCAGAAGAAGCCCCGGCUAACUUCGUGCCAGCAGCCGCGGUAAUACGAAGGGGGCUAGCAUUGCUCGGAAUUACUGGGCGUAAAGGGCGCGUAGGCGGGUCGUUUAGUUAGAGGUGAAAGCCCAGGGCUCAACCCUGGAAUUGCCUUUAAUACUGGCGGCCUUGAGUAUGGCAGAGGUGUGUGGAACUCCGAGUGUAGAGGUGAAAUUCGUAGAUAUUCGGAAGAACACCAGUGGCGAAGGCGACACACUGGGCCAUUACUGACGCUGAGGCGCGAAAGCGUGGGGAGCAAACAGGAUUAGAUACCCUAGUAGUCC
RNAcentral lists this ribosomal RNA (742 nucleotides) under uncultured bacterium. Its description in RNAcentral is "bacterial SSU rRNA". It matches the Rfam family "Bacterial small subunit ribosomal RNA", at positions 8 to 796 of the family's 1533-position model. The record is from RNAcentral.